This 1362-nucleotide long non-coding RNA is filed under the name Salmo salar (Atlantic salmon). Its description in RNAcentral is "lncRNA (ENSSSAG00000083511.1)". The record is from RNAcentral. Lineage: Eukaryota; Metazoa; Chordata; Actinopteri; Salmoniformes; Salmonidae.
UGGAACUGCUUGCUCUACAGCGCAUUACAAAACCAGCAAUUGUAUACAACGUUGUGGGUAGAAACAGCCAGGAGAAGAAGAACUUUUCUUACUCUAUAUAAUAAUAAGGUAUGUAAUAAUGUAUUAUUCCCCUUCUUCACUUCAAAUGAACAAAAUGUACACUUUAAUAUUGCAAUCUCUAAAUCUAAUUUGGUUAACAAUUCUAAAAUUGGAAAUAUUUUAAGGAUUAAUUCAAUAUACAUGUACUUAGGACUUUUUUCUGGAUAUUUCACCUUCCCAACAGUCAUCAGAGUGUUCAGUGGGUAAAAACUCUGGUCCUGUAUUGUAACUAGUACUGUUGUAUACAUGACCACGUGAUAGUUAGGAACCACCAUCUAUCUAUCUAGCACCUCACCCCAGCCUGCUAUCUGUCUCUAUCUAUACCUAAUCUCACUGUCACCUCACCCCAGCCUGCUAUCUGUCUCUAUCUAUACCUAAUCUCACUGUCACCUCAGUCUCCACCUCAGCCCAGCCUGCUACCGGUCUCUAUCUAUACCUGCUCCUCCACCUCACCCCAGCCUGCUAUCUGUCUCUAACUAUACCUGUAUUGUAGGUCUAUAAAGAAUAGAGGUAUAGUCAUGACAGUAAAUUGCAGCACCACCCAACUCAUCUGGGUUAGGGUUAUACCCAUGGGUUAUACCCAUAGCCUAUUAUCUAUAACAGUUUAUAACCAUAGCAUAUCAUCCAUAAGAGGUUAUAACCAUAGCCUUUAAUCCAUAACAGGUUAUAACCAUAGCAUAUCAUCCAUAAGAGGUUAUAACCAUAGAAUAUCAUCCAUAAGAGGUUAUAACCAUAGCCUUUAAUCCAUAACAGGUUGUAACCAUAGCCAAUCAUCUAUAACAGGUUGUAACCAUAGCCUAUCACCCAUAAAAGGUUAUAACCAUAGUCUUUAAUCCAUAACAGGUUAUAACCAUAGUCUUUAAUCCAUAACAGGUUAUACCCAUAGUUUUUAAUCCAUAACAGGUUGUAACCAUAGCCUAUCAUCUAUAACAGGUUAUAACCUUAGCAUAUCAUCCAUAACAGGUUAUACCCAUAGUUGUUAAUCCAUAACAGGUUGUAACCAUAGCCUAUCAUCUAUAACAGGUUAUAACCUUAGCAUUUCAUCCAUAACAGGUUAUACCCAUAGUUGUUAAUCCAUAACAGGUUGUAACCAUAGCCUAUCAUCUAUAACAGGUUAUAACCUUAGCAUAUCAUCCAUAACAGGUUAUACCCAUAGUUGUUAAUCCAUAACAGGUUGUAACCAUAGCCUAUCAUCUAUAACAGGUUAUAACCUUAGCAUAUCAUCCAUAACAGGUUAUACCCAUAGUUGUUAAUCCAUAACAG